GCAAACUUGGUCAUUUAGAGGAAGUAAAAGUCGUAACAAGGUCUCCGUUGGUGAACCAGCGGAGGGAUCAUUACUGAGUUAUCAAAACUCCAAACCCUUUGUGAACCUUACCGUCGUUGCCUCGGCGUGAGCUACGGCUACCCUGUAACUACCCUGGAGCUACCCUAGAGUUACCCUAUAGCUACCCUGCACUUACCCUGCAGCUACCCUAUAGCUACCCUGGAGCUACCCUGGAGCUACCCUGUAGUCGGCUUCGGCCCGCCGAAGGACCGUUAAACUCUUGUUUUUUUACCACUGUUUCUCUGAAUUUUAAACUAAAAUUAGUUAAAACUUUCAACAACGGAUCUCUUGGUUCUGGCAUCGAUGAAGAACGCAGC
Molecule: unclassified non-coding RNA, 377 nt
Filed under: uncultured fungus
Lineage: Eukaryota; Fungi
Description: partial contains small subunit ribosomal RNA, internal transcribed spacer 1, and 5.8S ribosomal RNA
Rfam family: Eukaryotic small subunit ribosomal RNA (bases 1-73)
Source: RNAcentral